This 537-nucleotide ribosomal RNA is filed under the name Cyptotrama fagiphila. RNAcentral's name for it is "eukaryotic LSU rRNA". It matches the Rfam family "Eukaryotic large subunit ribosomal RNA", at positions 74 to 608 of the family's 3401-position model. The record is from RNAcentral. Lineage: Eukaryota; Fungi; Basidiomycota; Agaricomycetes; Agaricales; Physalacriaceae.
AUUCCCCUAGUAACUGCGAGUGAAGAGGGAAAAGCUCAAAUUUAAAAUCUGGCAGCUUUUCGCUGUCCGAGUUGUAAAUUAGAGAAGUGUUACCCGUGUUGGACCGUGUACAAGUCUCCUGGAAUGGAGCGUCAUAGAGGGUGNGAAUCCCGUCUUUGACACGGACUACCAAUGCAUUGUGGUGCACUCUCAAAGAGUCGUGUUGUUUGGGAAUGCAGCACUAAAUGGGUGGUAAAUUCCAUCUAAAGCUAAAUAUUGGCGAGAGACCGAUAGCGAACAAGUACCGUGAGGGAAAGAUGAAAAGAACUUUGGAAAGAGAGUUAAACAGUACGUGAAAUUGUUGAAAGGGAAACGCUUGAAGUCCAGUCGCGUUGGUUGGAAAUCAGUCUUGCUUUAUUGCUUGAUGUACUUUCUAACUAAUGGGUCAACAUCAGUGUUGACCGUUGGAUAAAGGUUGAGGGAAUGUGGCACCUUCGGGUGUGUUAUAGCCCUUGAUUGUAUACAACGGUUGGUACUGAGGCCUCACGUCGCAAGACG